UACGAAGGGGGCUAGCGUUGUUCGGAAUUACUGGGCGUAAAGGGCGCGUAGGCGGUGUGUCAAGUCAGGCGUGAAAGCCCCGGGCUCAACCUGGGAACCGCGCUUGAGACUGGCACGCUCGAGUUCGGGAGAGGAUGGUGGAAUUCCCAGUGUAGAGGUGAAAUUCGUAGAUAUUGGGAAGAACACCGAUGGCGAAGGCAGCCAUCUGGACCGACACUGACGCUGAGGCG
Molecule: ribosomal RNA, 230 nt
Filed under: uncultured bacterium
Lineage: Bacteria
Description: partial 16S ribosomal RNA
Rfam family: Bacterial small subunit ribosomal RNA
Source: RNAcentral